GUGCCAGCCGCCGCGGUAAUACGAAGGGGGCUAGCGUUGUUCGGAACUACUGGGCGUAAAGCGCACGUAGGCGGAUAUUUAAGUCAGGGGUGAAAUCCCGCAGCUCAACUGCGGAACUGCCUUUGAUACUGGGUAUCUUGAGUAUGGAAGAGGUAAGUGGAAUUGCGAGUGUAGAGGUGAAAUUCGUAGAUAUUCGCAGGAACACCAGUGGCGAAGGCGGCUUACUGGUCCAUUACUGACGCUGAGGUGCGAAAGCGUGGGGAGCAAACAGGAUUAGAAACCCCAGUAGUCC
RNAcentral lists this ribosomal RNA (292 nucleotides) under uncultured prokaryote. RNAcentral describes it as "partial 16S ribosomal RNA". It matches the Rfam family "Bacterial small subunit ribosomal RNA", at positions 505 to 796 of the family's 1533-position model. The record is from RNAcentral.